RNAcentral lists this unclassified non-coding RNA (250 nucleotides) under plant metagenome. RNAcentral describes it as "partial contains small subunit ribosomal RNA, internal transcribed spacer 1, and 5.8S ribosomal RNA". The record is from RNAcentral.
GUAGGUGAACCUGCGGAAGGAUCAUUAAAGAGUAAGGGUCUAACCGGCCCGAACCUCCAACCCUUUGUUGUUUAAAAAACACCUUGUUGCUUUGGCGGGACCGCCGACCUCGCGUCGGCUGCCGGUCUCAGGCCCGGCAUGCGCCCGCCAGAGUCAAACCAAACUCUUGUUUUAACCAGUCGUCUGAGUAAAAAAGUUAAUAAAUUAAAACUUUCAACAACGGAUCUCUUGGUUCUGGCAUCGAUGAAGA